GAUGAACGCUGGCGGCGUGCCUAAUACAUGCAAGUCGAGCGAACAGAUAAGGAGCUUGCUCCUUUGACGUUAGCGGCGGACGGGUGAGUAACACGUGGAUAACCUACCUAUAAGACUGGGAUAACUUCGGGAAACCGGAGCUAAUACCGGAUAGCAUAUUGAACCGCAUGGUUCAAUAGUGAAAGGCGGCUUUGCUGUCACUUAUAGAUGGAUCCGCGCCGUAUUAGCUAGUUGGUAAGGUAACGGCUUACCAAGGCAACGAUACGUAGCCGACCUGAGAGGGUGAUCGGCCACACUGGAACUGAGACACGGUCCAGACUCCUACGGGAGGCAGCAGUAGGGAAUCUUCCGCAAUGGGCGAAAGCCUGACGGAGCAACGCCGCGUGAGUGAUGAAGGUCUUCGGAUCGUAAAACUCUGUUAUCAGGGAAGAACAAAUGUGUAAGUAACUGUGCACAUCUUGACGGUACCUGAUCAGAAAGCCACGGCUAACUACGUG
This 497-nucleotide ribosomal RNA is filed under the name uncultured bacterium. RNAcentral describes it as "partial 16S ribosomal RNA". It matches the Rfam family "Bacterial small subunit ribosomal RNA", at positions 28 to 507 of the family's 1533-position model. The record is from RNAcentral.